Molecule: non-coding RNA, 73 nt
Organism: Potamilus streckersoni
Lineage: Eukaryota; Metazoa; Mollusca; Bivalvia; Unionida; Unionidae
Source: the annotation of a GenBank genome assembly
GCUCUGGUGGCCUAGUGGUUAGAGCAUCCGCCUUGGAUGUGGGAGGUUGUGAGUUCAAUCCAUGGCAGAGUCA